Regulatory RNA element from Scleropages formosus (Asian bonytongue), 54 nucleotides. It matches the Rfam family "UnaL2 LINE 3' element". From Rfam's summary of the family: The eel long interspersed element (LINE) UnaL2 and its partner short interspersed element (SINE) share a conserved 3' tail containing a stem-loop that is critical for their retrotransposition. Presumably, the first step of retrotransposition is the recognition of their 3' tails by UnaL2-encoded reverse transcriptase. NCBI's taxonomy places the organism in Eukaryota, Metazoa, Chordata, Actinopteri, Osteoglossiformes, Osteoglossidae. The record is from Rfam.
GGUGUAAUGUGAUGUAAGUCGCUUUGGAUAAAAGUGUCUGCUAAAUGAAUAAGU